RNAcentral lists this ribosomal RNA (231 nucleotides) under Bacillus thuringiensis. RNAcentral describes it as "partial 16S ribosomal RNA". It matches the Rfam family "Bacterial small subunit ribosomal RNA", at positions 154 to 377 of the family's 1533-position model. Lineage: Bacteria; Bacillati; Bacillota; Bacilli; Caryophanales; Bacillaceae. The record is from RNAcentral.
AAACAGGUGCUAAUACCGGAUACGUUCUUUUCUCGCAUGAGAGAAGAUGGAAAGACGGUUUACUGCUGUCACUUAUAGAUGGGCCCGCGGCGCAUUAGCUAGUUGGUGAGGUAAUGGCUCACCAAGGCGACGAUGCGUAGCCGACCUGAGAGGGUGAUCGGCCACACUGGGACUGAGACACGGCCCAGACUCCUACGGGAGGCAGCAGUAGGGAAUCUUCCACAAUGGACA